UGAGGAAUAUUGGUCAAUGGGCGCAAGCCUGAACCAGCCAUCCCGCGUGCAGGAAGACGGCCCUAUGGGUUGUAAACUGCUUUUCCAGGGGGAGAAUUUUUCUGUCGUGACAGGAAUUGACGGUACCCUUGUAAUAAGCAUCGGCUAACUCCGUGCCAGCAGCCGCGGUAAUACGGAGGAUGCGUGCGUUAUCCGGAUUUAUUGGGUUUAAAGUGUGCGUAUGCGGAUUGAUAAGUUAGUGGUGAAAACCUGCAGAUUAGCUGCAGAACUGCCGUUGAUACUGUCAGUCGUGAGCGUGGUCAAGGUAGGCGGAAAGUGUAAUGUAGCGGUGAAAUGCUUAGAUAUUACACAGAACACCGAUUGCGAAGG
This 369-nucleotide ribosomal RNA is filed under the name uncultured bacterium. RNAcentral describes it as "bacterial SSU rRNA". It matches the Rfam family "Bacterial small subunit ribosomal RNA", at positions 355 to 721 of the family's 1533-position model. The record is from RNAcentral.